This 497-nucleotide ribosomal RNA is filed under the name uncultured bacterium. Its description in RNAcentral is "partial 16S ribosomal RNA". It matches the Rfam family "Bacterial small subunit ribosomal RNA", at positions 28 to 507 of the family's 1533-position model. The record is from RNAcentral.
GAUGAACGCUGGCGGCGUGCCUAAUACAUGCAAGUCGAGCGAACAGAUGAGGAGCUUGCUCCUCUGACGUUAGCGGCGGACGGGUGAGUAACACGUGGAUAACCUACCUAUAAGACUGGGAUAACUUCGGGAGACCGGAGCUAAUACCGGAUAAUAUAUUGAACCGCAUGGUUCAAUAGUGAAAGACGGUUUUGCUGUCACUUAUAGAUGGAUCCGCGCCGCAUUAGCUAGUUGGUAAGGUAACGGCUUACCAAGGCAACGAUGCGUAGCCGACCUGAGAGGGUGAUCGGCCACACUGGAACUGAGACACGGUCCAGACUCCUACGGGAGGCAGCAGUAGGGACUCUUCCGCAAUGGGCGAAAGCCUGACGGAGCAACGCCGCGUGAGGGCUGAAGGUCUUCGGAUCGUAAAACUCUGUUAUUAGGGAAGAACAAAUGUGUAAGUAACUAUGCACGUCUUGACGGUACCUAAUCAGAAAGCCACGGCUAACUACGUG